This 91-nucleotide non-coding RNA is filed under the name Sphingomonas zeicaulis. Its description in RNAcentral is "partial 16S ribosomal RNA". It matches the Rfam family "Bacterial small subunit ribosomal RNA", at positions 1 to 102 of the family's 1533-position model. Lineage: Bacteria; Pseudomonadati; Pseudomonadota; Alphaproteobacteria; Sphingomonadales; Sphingomonadaceae. The record is from RNAcentral.
AAACUUGAGAGUUUGAUCCUGGCUCAGAACGAACGCUGGCGGCAUGCCUAACACAUGCAAGUCGAACGAGACCUUCGGGUCUAGUGGCGCA